RNAcentral lists this ribosomal RNA (482 nucleotides) under uncultured bacterium. RNAcentral describes it as "partial 16S ribosomal RNA". It matches the Rfam family "Bacterial small subunit ribosomal RNA", at positions 30 to 507 of the family's 1533-position model. The record is from RNAcentral.
AUUGAACGCUGGCGGCAUGCCUUACACAUGCAAGUCGAACGGUAACGGGCCUUCGGGUGCCGACGAGUGGCGAACGGGUGAGUAAUACAUCGGAACGUGCCCGAUCGUGGGGGGUAACGAGGCGAAAGCUUUGCUAAUACCGCAUACGAUCUACGGAUGAAAGCAGGGGACCGCAAGGCCUUGCGCGGACGGAGCGGCCGAUGGCAGAUUAGGUAGUUGGUGGGGUAAAAGCUUACCAAGCCGACGAUCUGUAGCUGGUCUGAGAGGAUGAUCAGCCACACUGGGACUGAGACACGGCCCAGACUCCUACGGGAGGCAGCAGUGGGGAAUUUUGGACAAUGGGCGCAAGCCUGAUCCAGCCAUGCCGCGUGCAGGAUGAAGGCCUUCGGGUUGUAAACUGCUUUUGUACGGAACGAAAAGCCUUCUUUUAAUACAGGAGGGUCAUGACGGUACCGUAAGAAUAAGCACCGGCUAACUACGUG